GAUGAACGCUGGCGGCGUGCCUAAUACAUGCAAGUCGAGCGAACGGACGAGAAGCUUGCUUUUCUGAUGUUAGCGGCGGACGGGUGAGUAACACGUGGAUAACCUACCUAUAAGACUGGGAUAACUUCGGGAAACCGGAGCUAAUACCUGAUAAUAUUUUGAACCGCAUGGUUCAUAAGUGAAAGACGGUCUUGCUGUCACUUAUAGAUGGAUCCGCGCUGCAUUAGCUAGUUGGUAAGGUAACGGCUUACCAAGGCAACGAUGCAUAGCCGACCUGAGAGGGUGAUCGGCCACACUGGAACUGAGACACGGUCCAGACUCCUACGGGAGGCAGCAGUAGGGAAUCUUCCGCAAUGGGCGAAAGCCUGACGGAGCAACGCCGCGUGAGUGAUGAAGGUCUUCGGAUCGUAAAACUCUGUUAUUAGGGAAGAACAUAUGUGUAAGUAACUGUGCACAUCUUGACGGUACCUAAUCAGAAAGCCACGGCUAACUACGUG
Molecule: ribosomal RNA, 497 nt
Filed under: uncultured bacterium
Lineage: Bacteria
Description: partial 16S ribosomal RNA
Rfam family: Bacterial small subunit ribosomal RNA
Source: RNAcentral